Molecule: long non-coding RNA, 867 nt
Filed under: Populus trichocarpa (black cottonwood)
Lineage: Eukaryota; Viridiplantae; Streptophyta; Magnoliopsida; Malpighiales; Salicaceae
Description: long non-coding RNA (PTRI_LNC002537)
Source: RNAcentral
CCUCCUUCUGCAUCACAGCCGCCCCCUCCCCCAAAAGCACACAACUCUCAAAUCUCAUUCUCUCACACUCUCGUCCAUCACUAGCCAGACCCCCCCAAAGCACACAACUCUCAAAUCUCAAUCUCUCACACUCUCGUCCAUCACUAAUGGCCAGAUCUAGACUUCUAGUCAUCUAACAAAACUUCAACAUAGCUUCAAUCUUCAUCUUCAAGGCUUCAGUAAUUGGGCAUGAAAGUUCUCAUAAAGCUUAUGAUGACAGAUUCAUCUUCAUGGCUUCAGUGAUCUUCAUCUUCAAGGAAACCAUUCUCCUUGCAACUCUUUGCUGUCUUACCAGAACUCUAUAAUAUGCAGUCCCAUGAUAGUUUUCAUGAAGCUUAUGAUGACAGAUUUGUUGUUUGUUGAGUAAUUGAGCUUUUGAAAUUGUGGGGUUUGUAGGGAAGAACAAGAACGAAGCUGGAGAAGCUAUAGAGAAGAUUGUUAAAAAAACCCGGUCGGUUUGAAUAUAGGUUUUUCCUGUUUUUAUAUUAAAAAAACCGAACCGGACCGAACCGAAACCGGUCGGUUUGAACCGAUUCCGGUUCGGUUCCGGUUCAAAUUUUUCAGUUUUUUAAAAUUUUAUUUUGGUUAUUUUUUAAGGUAAAAACCGAACUUUGCACAUUUUAUGCUCUUGUUCAUUACCGUUGUGUGUUGCCGAGUUUGCUAAGGGGGUUGCUCCAGUGGCUAAUCAGUGUUAAAGUUGCUAAUUGAAGCAGGAGCAUUGAAUUAAUGAUUCAAUAAACCUGAUCAAUCAUAUUAGCUUUUUUUAAUUUUUUUCUAUCUUUUUAAUUUUAUUUUAUGGAUCAUCUAAUGUAUUUCAUUUGACAAUUG